Molecule: ribosomal RNA, 189 nt
Filed under: uncultured bacterium
Lineage: Bacteria
Description: partial 16S ribosomal RNA
Rfam family: Bacterial small subunit ribosomal RNA
Source: RNAcentral
CCUACGGGAGGCAGCAGUGAGGAAUAUUGGUCAAUGGACGAGAGUCUGAACCAGCCAAGUAGCGUGAAGGAUGACUGCCCUAUGGGUUGUAAACUUCUUUUAUACGGGAAUAAAGUGAGGCACGUGUGCCUUUUUGUAUGUACCGUAUGAAUAAGGAUCGGCUAACUCCGUGCCAGCAGCCGCGGUAAU